This 119-nucleotide microRNA precursor is filed under the name Triticum aestivum (bread wheat). Its description in RNAcentral is "miR1120 stem-loop (tae-MIR1120a)". The stretch from base 17 to 100 matches the Rfam family "MIR1120/MIR1122 microRNA precursor family". The record is from miRBase by way of RNAcentral. Lineage: Eukaryota; Viridiplantae; Streptophyta; Magnoliopsida; Poales; Poaceae.
GCGGCCGCCCGGGCAGGUACUCCCUCCGUCCCAUAAUAUAAGAACAUUUUUGACAGUGUAGUGUCAAAAACAUUCUUAUAUUAUGAGACGGAGGGAGUAUUUCCCAGCUCCUGAAUCAC